GAUGAACGCUGGCGGCGUGCCUAAUACAUGCAAGUCGAGCGAACAGACGAGGAGCUUGCUCCUCUGACGUUAGCGGCGGACGGGUGAGUAACACGUGGAUAACCUACCUAUAAGACUGGGAUAACUUCGGGAAACCGGAGCUAAUACCGGAUAACAUGUUGAACCGCAUGGUUCAACAGUGAAAGACGGUCUUGCUGUCACUUAUAGAUGGAUCCGCGCCGCAUUAGCUAGUUGGUAAGGUAACGGCUUACCAAGGCAACGAUGCGUAGCCGACCUGAGAGGGUGAUCGGCCACACUGGAACUGAGACACGGUCCAGACUCCUACGGGAGGCAGCAGUAGGGAAUCUUCCGCAAUGGGCGAAAGCCUGACGGAGCAACGCCGCGUGAGUGAAGAAGGUCUUCGGAUCGUAAAACUCUGUUAUUAGGGAAGAACAAAUGUGUAAGUAACUAUGCACGUCUUGACGGUACCUAAUCAGAAAGCCACGGCUAACUACCUG
Molecule: ribosomal RNA, 497 nt
Filed under: uncultured bacterium
Lineage: Bacteria
Description: partial 16S ribosomal RNA
Rfam family: Bacterial small subunit ribosomal RNA
Source: RNAcentral